UAAUUUUCUAAUGCUCUUUCAAGCUGUGAUAAAAUUUUUGUUUAGGCUAGUUAAGAUCAAAAUUUUGGAAAAGUGGUAACCAUUUCCCGUUUGUAAUCUAAAAUGACUGAAAAUUGCAAAUUUCGCAAGGCUAUAUUAUCCGCAUUUUACAACAUUUCGCAACAAAACUUUGGAAUAUUACUAAUUUUGUGAUGUUCUUUCAUGCCAUGAUGAAAUUUUUGUCUAGACUUGUUGAGAUCAAAAUUUUGGUUAAUUGGGGAAUGGUCCAUUGGAUGAAAAAUUAGCAAAACUUUGUCUUAUUUUACGUGCAGGUGUUUCUACAAAUUUACGUGGUGUUUCUACAAACAAAAAGUAUUAUUUGUCUUACUUUGUCAGGUAGAGAUAAGUGAAUGCAUAAUUAGCCAAUUGUAUAUUAUUGUUAUUGUUGUUUUUGUUGUUAUUUUGUAUUUUAUUGUCUUAAAAUAUUUAAGGGAUAUGGCGAUAAAAGUUAAAUUUGUCUCAUUCGAUAGAACGUUUAAAAUUGUAGAUUAAAUCCUUUCACCGUUUUUCAUACUUUGCUUAUAGUUUUUGAAAUAUUUUGACUAGAAAUAAUAGGUUGUCCGCCAUCUUGGAUUGGUUUUGAUUUUAUUAACGAUUGUACGGAUUUUGUGACGUCGAAAGCAGGAUUAGCCACACAAACUUCUCAAUGAGAGCAAACAACAAGUAGCAGGCGGACAGCUUACUGAUUUCUGAUGAUUUUUGUCAUAAUAUUUCAAGAAUUAAGCAACAUUUGAAUAAGCUAAGUUGUACAAACGUUUUCCCAUGCAUGAUUUUAAAUGUUCUUUUCAAUUGGAAGUUUUUUUGGCAUAUCACUUUAAGCAUAGGUUUUGUGGGAUAUGUUUGCUUUUAAAUCAAGUCCAGUUUCACGUUUUUGUUUUUGUUUUUAAAUCCGUUUUGAGUCAAAAGUUAAAUUUUGAGUCCACGAGUUCAUGAGUCCACGCGUUCAUGAGUCCACGAGCCAACAAAUCCAGUCCUUGUUUUGUACCACACAAACAUACUGGCCGCGCUAAUGAAAGGGUCCAAUUGAUCUUGUGGAACGACCAAUCACAUUCGUUUUUUCAACUCAUGUGACUAUCUGGGACUUCUGGGUACGAUUGAUUGACAAAACGUCUGCAACACUGAAGACUACACUUAAUUCUUUUUGAGAAUUACAGCGUCCGUUGGUGAUUGUUUUCAGAAGCUUCUCAACGUGUUCCUGGAUUAAGCUUUGACAAGACAUCGAAGAUAAUAAAGUACGAAAGUGCAUUUUAUCAAGUGAGUAUAUAGGAUUGGUCCUU
Paramuricea clavata is the source of this 1316-nucleotide non-coding RNA. The record is from the annotation of a GenBank genome assembly. NCBI's taxonomy places the organism in Eukaryota, Metazoa, Cnidaria, Anthozoa, Malacalcyonacea, Plexauridae.